AUGGCGAAGGCAGAUCUCUGGGCCGUAACUGACGCUGAGGAGCGAAAGGGUGGGGAGCAAACAGGCUUAGAUACCCUGGUAGUCCACCCCGUAAACGUUGGGAACUAGUUGUGGGGUCCUUUCCACGGAUUCCGUGACGCAGCUAACGCAUUAAGUUCCCCGCCUGGGGAGUACGGCCGCAAGGCUAAAACUCAAAGGAAUUGACGGGGACCCGCACAAGCGGCGGAGCAUGCGGAUUAAUUCGAUGCAACGCGAAGAACCUUACCAAGGCUUGACAUACACGAGAACACCCUAGAAAUAGGGGACUCUUUGGACACUCGUGAACAGGUGGUGCAUGGUUGUCGUCAGCUCGUGUCGUGAGAUGUUGGGUUAAGUCCCGCAACGAGCGCAACCCUCGUUCUAUGUUGCCAGCACGUAAUGGUGGGAACUCAUGGGAUACUGCCGGGGUCAACUCGGAGGAAGGUGGGGAUGACGUCAAAUCAUCAUGCCCCUUAUGUCUUGGGCUUCACGCAUGCUACAAUGGCCGGUACAAAGGGCUGCAAUACCGUGAGGUGGAGCGAAUCCCAAAAAGCCGGUCCCAGUUCGGAUUGAGGUCUGCAACUCGACCUCAUGAAGUCGGAGUCGCUAGUAAUCGCAGAUCAGCAACGCUGCGGUGAAUACGUUCCCGGGUCUUGUACACACCGCCCGUCAAGUCAUGAAAGUCGGUAACACCUGAAGCCGGUGGCCCA
This 728-nucleotide ribosomal RNA is filed under the name Microbacterium sp. DBQ_26S. RNAcentral's name for it is "bacterial SSU rRNA". It matches the Rfam family "Bacterial small subunit ribosomal RNA", at positions 712 to 1437 of the family's 1533-position model. The record is from RNAcentral. Lineage: Bacteria; Bacillati; Actinomycetota; Actinomycetes; Micrococcales; Microbacteriaceae.